RNAcentral lists this ribosomal RNA (493 nucleotides) under uncultured bacterium. Its description in RNAcentral is "partial 16S ribosomal RNA". It matches the Rfam family "Bacterial small subunit ribosomal RNA", at positions 29 to 507 of the family's 1533-position model. The record is from RNAcentral.
ACGAACGCUGGCGGCGUGCUUAACACAUGCAAGUCGAACGGUGAAGCGCCUUCCUUUUUGGUGGGUGUGGAUGAGUGGCGAACGGGUGAGUAACACGUGAGUAACCUGCCCCCUUCUUCUGGAUAACCGCAUGAAAGUGUGGCUAAUACGGGAUAUUCUGGGUCUGUCGCAUGAUGGGUCUGGGAAAGAUAUUGUUUCGGUGGGGGAUGGGCUCGCGGCCUAUCAGCUUGUUGGUGGGGUGAUGGCCUACCAAGGCGGUGACGGGUAGCCGGCCUGAGAGGGUGGACGGUCACACUGGGACUGAGACACGGCCCAGACUCCUACGGGAGGCAGCAGUGGGGAAUAUUGCACAAUGGGCGCAAGCCUGAUGCAGCGACGCCGCGUGAGGGAUGGAGGCCUUCGGGUUGUGAACCUCUUUCGCCAGUGAAGCAGGCCUGCCUCGUUUGUGGGUGGGUUGACGGUAGCUGGAUAAGAAGCGCCGGCUAACUACAUG